UACCUGAUUGAUUCUGUCAGCGCGAUAUGCUCAAGUAAAAGAUUAAGCCAUGCAUGCUUUGAUUCAUAAAUGAAAUUGCGUACGGCUCAUUAGAGCAGAUAUCACCUUUCUCGGAAUCCUGAAAAGGAUAACUGCGGAAAUUCUGGAGCUAAUACAUGCGACUAUACUCCAACGCAAGGCGGGGUGCAAUUAUUAGAACAGACCAAACGUUUUCGGACGUUGUUUGUUGACUCUGAAUACCGUCGUUUACUGUCAGUUUCGACUGACUCUAUCCGAGAAGGGUGUCUGCCCUUUCAACUAGAUGGUAAUCUAUUGGACUACCAUGGUUGUUACGGGUAACGGAGAAUUAGGGUUCGACUCCGGAGAGGGAGCCUUAGAAACGGCUACCACGUCCAAGGAAGGCAGCAGGCGCGAAACUUAUCCACUGUUGAGUAUGAGAUAGUGACUAAAAAUAUAAAGACUCAUCCUUUUGGAUGAGUUAUUUCAAUGAGUUGAAUAUAAAUUAUUCUUCGAGUAGCAAGGAGAGGGCAAGUCUGGUGCCAGCAGCCGCGGUAAUUCCAGCUCUCCUAGUGUAUCUCGUUAUUGCUGCGGUUAAAAAGCUCGUAGUUGGAUCUAGGUUACGUGCCGCAGUUCGCAAUUUGCGUUAACUGUGGUCGUGACUUCUAAUUUGCUGGUUUGAGGUUGGGUUCGCCCUUCAACUGCCAGCAGGUUUACCUUGAAUAAAUCAGAGUGCUCAAUACAGGCGCUUGCUUGAAUAGCUCAUCAUGGAAUAAUGAAACAGGACUUCGGUUCUUUUUGUUGGUUCUAGAAUUGAUCUAAUGGUUAAGAGGGACAAACCGGGGGCAUUCGUAUCAUUACGCGAGAGGUGAAAUUCGUGGACCGUAGUGAGACGCCCAAUAGCGAAAGCAUUUGCCAAGAAUGUCUUCAUUAAUCAAGAACGAAAGUCAGAGGUUCGAAGGCGAUUAGAUACCGCCCUAGUUCUGACCGUAAACGAUGCCAUCUCGCGAUUCGGAGGGUUCAUGCCCUACCGAGGAGCUACCCGGAAACGAAAGUCUUUCGGUUCCGGGGGUAGUAUGGUUGCAAAGCUGAAACUUAA
RNAcentral lists this non-coding RNA (1096 nucleotides) under Caenorhabditis japonica. RNAcentral describes it as "Eukaryotic small subunit ribosomal RNA". It matches the Rfam family "Eukaryotic small subunit ribosomal RNA", at positions 1 to 1147 of the family's 1831-position model. The record is from Rfam by way of RNAcentral. Lineage: Eukaryota; Metazoa; Nematoda; Chromadorea; Rhabditida; Rhabditidae.